Molecule: long non-coding RNA, 419 nt
Organism: Eubalaena glacialis (North Atlantic right whale)
Lineage: Eukaryota; Metazoa; Chordata; Mammalia; Artiodactyla; Balaenidae
Exons: 4
Source: RefSeq, a predicted model, not a curated record
UCUAGUGGAAACCAGCCGCCAUGUCAUGAGGACACUUAGGCAGCCUGUACUGAGGCUUUCCACCAACAGAUAUGUGAGUCAUCUUGGAAGCCAGUCCUCCAGUCCUGCUCAAGGCUUUGGCUGACAGCAACCCAUGCCAACAUCCUGACUGCAACUUCAGGAAACCCUGAGCUAUGCCUGCCCAGCUAAGCUACUCCUGGUUUCCUGACUCUCAGAAACUCUUCAUCCCUACAUACCUUACAUGCUCCCUCAGAAACAUGGAUUUACAAACGCAGAGCUUAUCACAUGACUACUGGAUCUAAGAUUUCCUGGAGCAAUCCUAAACUAUGAAUAAAGAAAUGGAUACUACAGGGGUCAUCUCUUUGGGGCAGUCUGUGGGACUUGAUCAUCCACGGCGGUCCUGGAACCAAUCCCCCACA